CCUACGGGUGGCAGCAGUCGAGAAUCAUUCACAAUGGGGGAAACCCUGAUGGUGCGACGCCGCGUGGGGGAAUGAAGGUCUUCGGAUUGUAAACCUCUGUCAUGUGGGAGCAAAUUAAAAAGAUAGUACCACAAGAGGAAGAGACGGCUAACUCUGUGCCAGCAGCCGCGGUAAUACAGAGGUCUCAAGCGUUGUUCGGAAUCACUGGGCGUAAAGUGUGCGUAGGCUGUUUCGUAAGUCGUGUGUGAAAGGGGCGGGCUCAACCCGCGGACGGCACAUGAUACUGCGAGACUAGAGUAAUGGAGGGGGAAGCGGAAUUCGCGGUGUAGCAGUGAAAUGCGUAGAUAUCGAGAGGAACACUCAUGGCGAAGGCGGGUUCCUGGACAUUAACUGACGCUGAGGCACGAAGGCCAGGGGAGCGAAAGGGAUUAGAUACCCCAGUAGUC
Molecule: ribosomal RNA, 446 nt
Filed under: uncultured bacterium
Lineage: Bacteria
Description: partial 16S ribosomal RNA
Rfam family: Bacterial small subunit ribosomal RNA
Source: RNAcentral